CUAGCCGUAAACGAUGGGUACUAGGUGUGGGAGGUAUCGACCCCUUCUGUGCCGUCGUUAACACAAUAAGUACCCCGCCUGGGGAGUACGGUCGCAAGACUAAAACUCAAAGGAAUUGACGGGGGCCCGCACAAGCAGCGGAGCAUGUGGUUUAAUUCGAAGCAACGCGAAGAACCUUACCUAGACUUGACAUCUCCUGAAUUACCCGUAAUGGGGGAAGCUCUUCGGAGCAGGAAGACAGGUGG
RNAcentral lists this ribosomal RNA (245 nucleotides) under uncultured bacterium. RNAcentral's name for it is "partial 16S ribosomal RNA". It matches the Rfam family "Bacterial small subunit ribosomal RNA", at positions 796 to 1041 of the family's 1533-position model. The record is from RNAcentral.